GAUGAACGCUGGCGGCGUGCCUAAUACAUGCAAGUCGAGCGAACAGACGAGGAGCUUGCUCCUCUGACGUUAGCGGCGGACGGGUGAGUAACACGUGGAUAACCUACCUAUAAGACUGGGAUAACUUCGGGAAACCGGAGCUAAUACCGGAUAAUAUAUUGAACCGCAUGGUUCAAUAGUGAAAGACGGUUUUGCUGUCACUUAUAGAUGGAUCCGCGCCGCAUUAGCUAGUUGGUAAGGUAAUGGCUUACCAAGGCAACGAUGCGUAGCCGACCUGAGAGGGUGGUCGGCCACACUGGAACUGAGACACGGUCCAGCCUCCUACGGGAGGCAGCAGUAGGGAAUCUUCCGCAAUGGGCGAAAGCCUGACGGAGCAACGCCGCGUGAGUGAUGAAGGUCUUCGGAUCGUAAAACUCUGUUAUUAGGGAAGAACAAAUGUGUAAGUAACUAUGCACGUCUUGACGGUACCUAAUCAGAAAGCCACGGCUAACUACGUG
RNAcentral lists this ribosomal RNA (497 nucleotides) under uncultured bacterium. RNAcentral's name for it is "partial 16S ribosomal RNA". It matches the Rfam family "Bacterial small subunit ribosomal RNA", at positions 28 to 507 of the family's 1533-position model. The record is from RNAcentral.